GAUGAACGCUGGCGGCGUGCCUAAUACAUGCAAGUCGAACGAGGUGCUUUUGUAGCAAUACGAGAGUAUCCUAGUGGCGAACGGGUGAGUAACGCGUUGGUGACCUGCCCCAAAGUGCGGGAUAACAGUCCGAAAGGAUUGCUAAUACCGCAUGUGGUUAUUGGAUUUAGAAACUAAUAACUAAAGGAGCAAUCCGCUUUGGGAGGGACCUGCGUCCCAUCAGCUAGUUGGUGAGGUAACGGCUCACCAAGGCUACGACGGGUAGGGGACCUGAGAGGGUGACCCCCCACAAUGGAACUGAAACACGGUCCAUACACCUACGGGUGGCUG
RNAcentral lists this ribosomal RNA (330 nucleotides) under uncultured Chloroflexota bacterium. Its description in RNAcentral is "bacterial SSU rRNA". It matches the Rfam family "Bacterial small subunit ribosomal RNA", at positions 28 to 351 of the family's 1533-position model. Lineage: Bacteria; Bacillati; Chloroflexota. The record is from RNAcentral.